Molecule: ribosomal RNA, 1220 nt
Filed under: Escherichia coli
Lineage: Bacteria; Pseudomonadati; Pseudomonadota; Gammaproteobacteria; Enterobacterales; Enterobacteriaceae
Description: partial 23S ribosomal RNA
Rfam family: Bacterial large subunit ribosomal RNA
Source: RNAcentral
GGUUAAGCGACUAAGCGUACACGGUGGAUGCCCUGGCAGUCAGAGGCGAUGAAGGACGUGCUAAUCUGCGAUAAGCGUCGGUGAGGUGAUAUGAACCGUUAUAACCGGCGAUUUCCGAAUGGGGAAACCCAGUGUGUUUCGACACACUAUCAUUAACUGAAUCCAUAGGUUAAUGAGGCGAACCGGGGGAACUGAAACAUCUAAGUACCCCGAGGAAAAGAAAUCAACCGAGAUUCCCCCAGUAGCGGCGAGCGAACGGGGAGGAGCCCAGAGCCUGAAUCAGUGUGUGUGUUAGUGGAAGCGUCUGGAAAGGCGCGCGAUACAGGGUGACAGCCCCGUACACAAAAAUGCACAUAUUGUGAGCUCGAUGAGUAGGGCGGGACACGUGGUAUCCUGUCUGAAUAUGGGGGGACCAUCCUCCAAGGCUAAAUACUCCUGACUGACCGAUAGUGAACCAGUACCGUGAGGGAAAGGCGAAAAGAACCCCGGCGAGGGGAGUGAAAAAGAACCUGAAACCGUGUACGUACAAGCAGUGGGAGCCUCUUAAUGGGGUGACUGCGUACCUUUUGUAUAAUGGGUCAGCGACUUAUAUUCUGUAGCAAGGUUAACCGAAUAGGGGAGCCGAAGGGAAACCGAGUCUUAACUGGGCGUUAAGUUGCAGGGUAUAGACCCGAAACCCGGUGAUCUAGCCAUGGGCAGGUUGAAGGUUGGGUAACACUAACUGGAGGACCGAACCGACUAAUGUUGAAAAAUUAGCGGAUGACUUGUGGCUGGGGGUGAAAGGCCAAUCAAACCGGGAGAUAGCUGGUUCUCCCCGAAAGCUAUUUAGGUAGCGCCUCGUGAAUUCAUCUCCGGGGGUAGAGCACUGUUUCGGCAAGGGGGUCAUCCCGACUUACCAACCCGAUGCAAACUGCGAAUACCGGAGAAUGUUAUCACGGGAGACACACGGCGGGUGCUAACGUCCGUCGUGAAGAGGGAAACAACCCAGACCGCCAGCUAAGGUCCCAAAGUCAUGGUUAAGUGGGAAACGAUGUGGGAAGGCCCAGACAGCCAGGAUGUUGGCUUAGAAGCAGCCAUCAUUUAAAGAAAGCGUAAUAGCUCACUGGUCGAGUCGGCCUGCGCGGAAGAUGUAACGGGGCUAAACCAUGCACCGAAGCUGCGGCAGCGACACUAUGUGUUGUUGGGUAGGGGAGCGUUCUGUAAGCCUGUGAAGGUGGCCU